CAUAGAUUUAUGGUAAAAAUACUAAGUGAUGUGGCGAAACAAGCCUUUCCACAGGCUGUCCACCGCUGUAGAAGAGUUUGGAUUGUGGAGGAUAGGGUUUGAUGACCGGAAUCGAAACAUUUUCAAGGAUGAGACUCGAGACUCGAAUCCAGGUCCUCACACUGGAAAUCCGAAGCGUUUCCAUACGACCAAUCCGGCUGACGGGUUUCUUUUUUUAUUUAUUGGUUUCGUUACUUUCUAAUCAAUGAUUACUAAGCAGCAGGGUAUUUCAGGGUCCAGCACCCGUCCACACCCGUGGUGAGGUGAAGUGAAGAAUGGACGAGCUGGGCCUGGAUUUCUAAAAAAAUCUGGAGGUGAGGAACUCAGAAAUGAAUCUGAAUUUUCUGAGUGAUAAGCUAACACUUUAUUAUGCGGCCAUCCGUCCAACCAUUUUUGAAUAGUUGGUAAAUUAAAAUACGGAAAUUUGAAUUUAAUGUUAUUAAACAAUUAAUUUGGAAUGAGUAUGAAAAGUUAAGAUUUAAC
RNAcentral lists this long non-coding RNA (522 nucleotides) under Androctonus crassicauda. Lineage: Eukaryota; Metazoa; Arthropoda; Arachnida; Scorpiones; Buthidae. The record is from RNAcentral.